AUUCCAGCUCCAAUAGCGUACACUAAAGUUGUUGCAGUUAAAAAGCUCGUAGUCUAAUGUAUAGGAGUUGCGGGGUGGGUGUUUGGUUGGUUUUGCCGACUAGACAAUACUCGCUCCGCUUCCCGCUUGUUUUGCUCUCUUUUUAGAAGGCAAAUGUUUCACUGUAAGUAAAACAACUCGCUCAACAGCAAGGUUAUCUUGAUAUGAAUUAGUAUGGGAUGAUGAGAUAGGCUCGGUCCGUAUUUUGUUGGUUUUAGUGGUCUGAGAAUGAUGAAGAGGGACAAUUGGGGGUAUUCGUAUUUACAUGUCAGAGGUGGAAUUCUUGGAUUUUGGAAAGACGAACUAAUGCGAAAGCAUCUACCAAAGAUGUUUUCAUUA
RNAcentral lists this ribosomal RNA (378 nucleotides) under Thraustochytrium sp. RNAcentral's name for it is "partial small subunit ribosomal RNA". It matches the Rfam family "Eukaryotic small subunit ribosomal RNA", at positions 582 to 975 of the family's 1831-position model. The record is from RNAcentral. Lineage: Eukaryota; Bigyra; Thraustochytrida; Thraustochytriidae.